AUUGAACGCUGGCGGCAUGCGUAACACAUGCAAGUCGAACGGUGUUUGGUGCUUGCACCAGACAUAGUGGCGGACGGGUGUGUAAUGCGUAGGAAUCUGUCUUAGAGAGGGGGACAACCCGAGGAAACUUGGGCUAAAACCGCAUAUUCUCGAGAGAGGAAAGCAGGGACCGGAAACGGCCUUGUGCUCUAAGGUGAGCCUACGUCGGAUUAGCUAGUUGGUAGGGUAAAAGCCUACCAAGGCGAUGAUCUGUAGCUGGUCUGAGAGGACGGACAGCCACACUGGGACUGAGACACGGCCCAGACUCCUACGGGAGGCAGCAGUGGGGAAUAUUGGACAAUGGGGGGAACCCGUGAUCCAGCGAUGCCGCGUGUGUGAAGAAGGGCCUGCGGGUUGUAAAGCACUUUCAGUGGGAAAGGAGAAGCGUCUUGUGAAUAAAUGGGUACGGUGGAGACGUUACUCACAGAAGAAGCACCGGCUAACUCUGUGCCAGCAGCCGCGGUAAUC
This 507-nucleotide ribosomal RNA is filed under the name uncultured bacterium. Its description in RNAcentral is "bacterial SSU rRNA". It matches the Rfam family "Bacterial small subunit ribosomal RNA", at positions 29 to 525 of the family's 1533-position model. The record is from RNAcentral.